Molecule: long non-coding RNA, 1321 nt
Filed under: Salvator merianae (Argentine black and white tegu)
Lineage: Eukaryota; Metazoa; Chordata; Lepidosauria; Squamata; Teiidae
Description: lncRNA (ENSSMRG00000017377.1)
Source: RNAcentral
CCUGCCUCGGUCCCAGGAAGAAAAAGUUUGUGGCCGUGCACAGUUACAGCAAGAAAAGACGGUCCCAAGGAGCAACUGUGCGGAAAGGGAGCGAACGAGCGAACUUUCCUCUCCUGCUUUCCCGGGAAAGGGGGAACGGCGCGGCAUCUGCGAGGUCUCUCUCCCCCUACGGGGCCCCUCAACAAAUGGCAUCCGAAGGAUUUAGACAGCUAAAACUGUUUUUGAGGGGGUGGGGGGGUCCCCCAGGGCGCUCACGGCACUGGCAGAGGAAAACACGGCCGGAGAGCCCGGUCCGUUCCUGGCGUGUGCUCCAAGGAGUCUGUUCCCCAUCUCCAACCAUUCUAACCGCGGAGUCAAGUCUGAACAAAGCAAAGUGGGGAAAACAAUCCCGCAGCCCUGCAGGCAAAACGCUUUAGAAGCAAAAGAGGGCGGGAGGGCGGGAGGGAGCCGAGCUGACACCCGGCGCGGACGGCGCGCUCCGCCUGGCUUACCUGCGUGGCUCUGGGCAGCGGCACACAGGAGGCAGAAGGCGACGCUCCAGGGCUGCGGCAGGGCUGACAGCGCCCGAGCCCUCCGUUUCCACCUCGUAGACUUGCACAUACAUGGUGGUGGACAUGGGAAUUGUAAAGAGAAAGCCAGAAAGAAAUGGACUGUGGAAAAAUUCAGUUGUCGCUGGCUCCAGAAUCCUCAUAAUCUCAAGGAAAGCCACGCUCGGAGGAUCCCCUCAAUGUGGGCGCAACGGACAAGCUGAUGAGGUGGUUCCGACCCGCGAGCCACAGCAGACACACUCGGGGCAGUAACAUUUCCAGAGAGGCAGGUGCUCACUCACUCCGAAAUCCCCCUUGGCUGUCUUACAUGUGAGAGGGAAGGGAGGAAGGAGACAGAGAGGCCUAGAGAGAAAGGAGGGAGGGAGGCACAAGAAGGCCGGCCUCAGGGAGAGUCCUGGGGUCCCAGCGCCCUCCCCAAGGCUGCCAGAAGCCAGCAGAGGCCUUCGAGGGAGCCUGAUCCAGCACUGAGACGGCUGGUGCUGUGGAGACGCUCCCUUUGAAUCACCCAAGAGCAAAUGUCGGUGGCAGAGGAAGAGUUUCCUGCAAAAUAUUUAUGGACCACCGCGAGAAUGGUCUCCUUUGCUGCUAAUUUCUUGGAAAAGCCAAAACGUAGGUGGAACGCAUGAUUAAUGGGGAAAAUAUACAAGCUAGCUGGUUUUCCUGCCCUGACCUCAUCCAUUUUGGUUAUUCGCUCUAUCUGUUGUGGCGGCAGUGUGCUGUUUCUAAGGAGCACCUGUCCANAAAGGAAAACCUCUUUGCCUUUCCUCCUCCUC